GGCCGUCUGGCGAAAUGGCAUCGCGUCUGACUACGAUUAGGGCGUGUGAAGCGCUUAUGUAAUCAAAUCAGGAGAUUGCAGGUUCGACCCCUGCGAUGGUCA
Hygrophoropsis aurantiaca is the source of this 102-nucleotide non-coding RNA. Lineage: Eukaryota; Fungi; Basidiomycota; Agaricomycetes; Boletales; Hygrophoropsidaceae. The record is from the annotation of a GenBank genome assembly.